UACGGGGGGGGCAAGCGUUGUUCGGAAUUACUGGGCGUAAAGGGCUCGUAGGUGGCCAACUAAGUCAUACGUGAAAUCCCUCGGCUUAACCGGGGAACUGCGCCUGAUACUGGUUGGCUUGAGUUUGGGAGAGGGACGCGGAAUUCCAGGUGUAGCGGUGAAAUGCGCAGAUAUCAGGAGGAACACCGGUGGCGAAGGCGGUUCUCUGGGCAUUACCUGACGCUGAGGUGCGAAAGCGUGGGGAGCAAACAGG
Molecule: ribosomal RNA, 253 nt
Filed under: uncultured bacterium
Lineage: Bacteria
Description: partial 16S ribosomal RNA
Rfam family: Bacterial small subunit ribosomal RNA
Source: RNAcentral